UGAGGUCUUUCUCAGAAGCCAUUUAGACAAAAACAAUGAGACUGGUUUUACUGCGGGGACAGAGCUUCAGUUUAACGCUUUUGAGGAGAAAAACAGCAGUUUGAAGGCACGGAAGCGAUUCAGGGCUUUUCUUGUUGAGAAACGGGAUUCAUUCAUGUUGCUGUUGCUCCUUUGGCCUGUCCAGUGAGUACUGACCCCUUCCCUGGCAGGCACAAAACAUUGUCUUGGAGUUGCUCCAAAGCAUAUUGCACUUAUAGUAUUUCUUGCUGUAACAUUAAGUAGCAUUAAACACAUGACCCAUAGGACAGGUGUCAAAGAAAUAAAGCACAGAUCUUAAUAUGCAGUAGAAACACUGUGUGAUAUAUAAGCACCCAACCAUUCACUUUGGACUCCAGCUGUAAUGUUCUGUCUUCGUGUGGAGUCUCCUAGCAACACAGACCUGUUUACCCACAAAACCAUCACAAGACAGAGGUGAACAACCAACCUGGAGCUGCAGCAGUGCCCACAUUCCCUGAGGACUUUUACGAUCCAUCUUUGUAGUCAGUGAAAGUUUCCAUUACAGCAGUCACAGAUGGCCGAGCAAGGGAGGAUGGCCAGGCCGACUGUCGGAGCACCAGGCAACAGGGGAUGGCCGAGGAGCAGCGCACUCAGAGUUUACGAUACUUCUUACAGAGCUGCUUAUGGUGAGAGAGUUCACGACUCAAGCAGGGACAACAUCACUUCUUACCUCGGACGUCUUAGUAAGACAGGUUUCACAGCAAA
Monopterus albus (swamp eel) is the source of this 762-nucleotide long non-coding RNA. RefSeq lists it as uncharacterized. The transcript is spliced from 3 exons. Lineage: Eukaryota; Metazoa; Chordata; Actinopteri; Synbranchiformes; Synbranchidae. The record is from RefSeq and is a predicted model, not a curated record.